This is a long non-coding RNA of Pseudophryne corroboree (corroboree frog), 657 nucleotides long. RefSeq lists it as uncharacterized. The transcript is spliced from 3 exons. The record is from RefSeq and is a predicted model, not a curated record. NCBI's taxonomy places the organism in Eukaryota, Metazoa, Chordata, Amphibia, Anura, Myobatrachidae.
GUACGCCGGGCUCUUGAACAGGCCGCCUCCAUCUUGCCGCUUGGCAGCUGACAUGGCGGCGAGAAGACAGAAAGUUUCGUUAAGUUGAGUUUAAUUCGAUCCGAUACGGAAAUUCUGCCGUCCACUGACACUCUCCGCCCUUUGAACGCCGGAUGGAGAAGAUCCGCAAUAUCUGUUUUUAGGGGUACAGGCAGCUAUUCCUCUACACUUUUCUAGCUGGCAUGAAUUUUCGAGGUAAUCCUGUUUUUGCGAUUGUGCAAUUGAAUAGGCAAAUUGCGGGAGCGCGCAUACCUAUGAAAAGCUCAUAUUCGCAGCAAAAAAAAACUGUUUUCAAGUUUGGCCCUUAAUGUAUUGGACAGAUGGAGAUCUACUUACAGGAAUCUACUUACAUUAUUUUUUCUUCUUUGGAUUCCAUCCUAAACAUCCAAUGCCAGCUCCCUCUUCUUCUGGAGAUCUCCGUGACACCCGGAAUAAGACACAACAUAAUCCUAUAUUAAUAGACCCCAGUGACCAAUAUCUCUUUUACUAUGAGGAGAUAAUGUCUACGUUUCUGCAUCUCCACCAAAACACCAGACACAAAGUAGGUACCUUCUCCAAAGCUUGCUCUCCGCCUCAUUGGUCCCUGUGUGUCUCUCAAUAAAUAAUUGUCACCUCAUA